Molecule: long non-coding RNA, 2505 nt
Organism: Papaver somniferum (opium poppy)
Lineage: Eukaryota; Viridiplantae; Streptophyta; Magnoliopsida; Ranunculales; Papaveraceae
Exons: 6
Source: RefSeq, a predicted model, not a curated record
GUUUCUCGAGAAGAUGAUUGUUCAGGAGUUCAUUUCAAACACUCGUGUUUAUAAUUACUGAUUGAUGGCUACUGCAAGUAUGGGUUGUUAGAUGAAGCUUUGGAGCUUCUUUCACAUUUUGACAAGAGUUUCUGUAAACCAGAUGCGUUUACUAUUAGGGCUCUAAUUGAUGGUUGUUGCAGAAAAGGAGAAAUGGAAGUGGCUCGAGAAUUCUAUUCGAAUUCAAAGAGAAGGGAAUUUUUCCCGAUUUACUUGGUUUUAUCUAUUUGAUAAAAGGACUUGUUUUGAAGGGAAGAAUAAAUGAAGCCAGUGAAGCAUCGGAGGAUAUGCUUCAAAUACAAUCCAUCAUCGAGCUGAUAGAUAGGACAGGUAGUGGAAUUAAAAACGAAUCAAUUGUAAGUUUUCUGGUGUUUUUAUGUCAACAAAAAAGAAUUGAAGAAGCUUCUGAUGUCCUUUAUGAAGUUGGGUCUGUGGUUUAUCCUUGUAAGAGGUCUUACUGAUCGACAAAUCUAAAGGUGUUAUAUGCUACGGAGGCUCAAAAAAAGGUUGGGUCUUUCACUCCGCAUGUAGUCAGUAAGGAUUCAUCAUCUUAGAAUUUAGAAAAAGUGGAUAAUUUAAAAAAGCAGUGUUGGUCGGAUGACUUUGGGGCUUGUUAUUCUCUCAUUGCAUCACUCUUUAGAAGGGGAGAAAGGAAAAGCUAACAGGGUAGCAAAAGAAAUGCUAUUACAUGCUUAAGUAACUUAUUAUUGGAGAAUUGCACGAUUAGUUAUUCUUUAUCCUCGGAAAGUUUGCACUGGCCUUGUCUCUGCAGAUGCUGCCAAAAGAGGAGUGUGUGAGUGGUAGGGAUGGCAAUGGGGCCGGUAUGAGGCGGUGACCUUGAAUCCCAUCUCCUACCCCGUUCGAAAAACCAAAACCCAUCCCCUACCCGUUUCCCAUAAAAAUGGGGCGGGGAUGGGUAUGGGGAAUCCCCGUAGGGCAUGGAUUUUUCAUGGGUUACCAUAACAUUACGAUAAAUAUUUAAAAUUUUGUAAAUAAUAAUAAUUUAAAAAAUAAUUAUAAUGAUUCAGAAAAUGAUACUAACAUAAGCAGUGCAUUUUGAAAUUUUAAGUUUAUAAUAACCAACUAAAACUGAAAAAUAAAUGAAACAGUUGAUCCACAAUUAAGUACUAUGGUCCCUUUUACUUCUUAGUUCCUCAUUAUUAACCAUCUUCCUCUAUGUUAAUCAUCUCAUCAUGAUCUUUUUCGUUAUCUUCCAAUAAAAUUCCUCGAUCAGAUAUAAUAGGUUAUGGUAUGGGGUGGGACCUUGAAUCCCAUCCCCACCCCAUCCCCGCAUCACUACUUUCGGGGAUUCUCCGUAUCCCGCCCCGUUCCCCGUUUAUACGGGUAAAACCCUAACCCAUAGGGGCGGAUCCCCACGGGGAUGGGUUUGGGUGGGGCAAAUUGCCAUCCCCAGUGAGUGGGUAUCGUCUUCUUGUGGAGUCGCUUGCAAUUCAAUCUACGAGGGGCUACCACCAAUUCCUACCAGGGAUUAUACUGAUGCUGUGAUCGCAGCUUGUGGUGUCGUUAGAGAUAUCUUGCAGACACUUCCUAUUGAAACGAACACUCUUCAACUCAGGCACAUUACCUGUUGAAAAGCUAUGAGGAAGAGUGGCUGAGUGGGUAUUGUCUUCAGCAGGAGCAUUCUCUUCCCAUUCCUAAACUGGAAGCCCGUGCUGAAGUCAUUCGGAAGCCACACUACCUCAAAAGUUUGCUUGAGAAGACGAUAUUCCAGGAGUUCAUGAAUGGUUGAGAAAUAUGAUUCCUGCGCCUCAGCCACAGAUUGAAACUUCUCCUCCUAAUAGCAGCUCUGGUAGAUCUCACGUGCUUCCAGCUGCAGCUUUGUGCAUUUCUCACCUGUCAGGGGUUUACGCGUAGUUGCAAUCUCAACACAGGCAUCUAUGUUGCAUAAUGGUGCAGGAAAAAGACCCGUAGUAAACUGAACCAGAUAGCAAUGCAAAGGUUAUGUGUGUUGCAGCUCCUGCUUCCACGAAUUCGGAUAACCACGUAUUCGGAUAGUCAGAUGGGAGUCACAAUGCCACCAAUGGAAAAUCAGGUGUUAGUGUGAUGGGAAUUAAAAAGUGAACAGAUAAUACACUAGGUGUAGAACAGAUUGUGUUUAAGAAUGGUACAGUUGAUAAUCUAUGCUCUGGAUUGGCAUCAAUAGACGUUAUGAUCCAUCCAUCUCACUGUCCUCGAGGAAAACUAUAACUCCAGAUGGCGCGUCAUUUUCACAAGAACAAUCUGAUAGGAGUCCGGAGUUACCUUCACAAAUGAUACCAGAAGUGAACAACAAAGUAAAAGAGUUAUCAUCAGCUUUUGAUGAGCAAAUUUUGAAGUUUUCCCAACUUACAAAUCCAUCAUAUAUGUUCGUUUAAUUUGUCUAAUGGUUUCAAAACCCCAAUUGUAUUGGCUAUUGUUUCACCUUGGCGAUGCUUGUCGUACGAGUAAUCUAACUGUACAUACGAA